RNAcentral lists this ribosomal RNA (292 nucleotides) under uncultured bacterium. Its description in RNAcentral is "partial 16S ribosomal RNA". It matches the Rfam family "Bacterial small subunit ribosomal RNA", at positions 505 to 796 of the family's 1533-position model. The record is from RNAcentral.
GUGUCAGCAGCCGCGGUAAUACGGAGGGUGCAAGCGUUAUCCGGAUUCACUGGGUUUAAAGGGUGCGUAGGCGGACAGGUAAGUCAGUGGUGAAAUCUCCGAGCUUAACUCGGAAACUGCCUUUGAUACUCUCUGUCUUGAAUAUGGUGGAGGUAAGCGGAAUAUGUCAUGUAGCGGUGAAAUGCUUAGAGAUGACAUAGAACACCUAUUGCGAAGGCAGCUUACUACGCCUAUAUUGACGCUGAGGCACGAAAGCGUGGGGAUCAAACAGGAUUAGAAACCCGAGUAGUCC